Molecule: long non-coding RNA, 224 nt
Filed under: Elaeis guineensis (African oil palm)
Lineage: Eukaryota; Viridiplantae; Streptophyta; Magnoliopsida; Arecales; Arecaceae
Description: long non-coding RNA (EGUI_LNC016522)
Source: RNAcentral
CAACCACUAAUCCAUGGGCGGUAUAACUCCGUGUUUCUAAGGUAGUUCUUAGAUCAUGUUGCACCAUUUCAUUCUCUUAGUUCAGCUUCAUGUAAUAUGCUAGCCUUUCCUCUCUAGUGAUAGUGUAAUCUAGAAUUUACAAUCUUUUUUUGCUUAAAUUGUUAGCAUGAUUUUAGGGAUUACAUAUCAACCUAAUAACAAUUUUUUUGUUAACAUGAUCCCAA